CCUACGGGAGGCAGCAGUGGGGAAUAUUGGGCAAUGGGCGAAAGCCUGACCCAGCAACGCCGCGUGAAGGAAGAAGGCUUUCGGGUUGUAAACUUCUUUUGACAGGGAAGAGCAGAAGACGGUACCUGUCGAAUAAGCCACGGCUAACUACGAGCCAGCGGCCGCGGUAAUACGUCGUGGGCAAGCGUUGUCCGGAUGUACGGGGUGUAAAGGGCGGGUAGCCGGGCUGACAAGUCAGAUGGGAAAUCCGGGGGCUCAACCAACGAACUGCAUUUGAUACUGUUGGUCUUGAGUAUCGGAGAGGCAGGCGGAAUGCGUGGUGUAGCGGUGAAAUGCAUAGAUAUUAGGAAGAACACCGGUGGCGAAGGC
This 369-nucleotide ribosomal RNA is filed under the name uncultured bacterium. RNAcentral's name for it is "partial 16S ribosomal RNA". It matches the Rfam family "Bacterial small subunit ribosomal RNA", at positions 338 to 722 of the family's 1533-position model. The record is from RNAcentral.